Molecule: long non-coding RNA, 492 nt
Filed under: Pan troglodytes (chimpanzee)
Lineage: Eukaryota; Metazoa; Chordata; Mammalia; Primates; Hominidae
Description: long non-coding RNA NONPTRT010040
Source: RNAcentral
AAACCGCAUCAGACAAUUGUCUCUUCCUCCUUUUAGGGCCCCAAGGUGGCUUGCACUUAGGGACAGCAUCCUUCCCUGUGGCUCAUGUUUCUGAUGUGCUGGGCUCUUCAGCAUGCCUCUUCAACCUGGUACUGUGGAUGCUCUGAAGGCCCCUUCUUGGCCAUGCCUGAUUUUCAGAAAUGUUCACCUGGUCGUCAACUCUGCAGAAACAAUGGUCGUGGUGUCUUCCUCAACAAAGAUAACAGAUAGAUGCGGGGCCUUGAGAGUACUUGGAACUCCCUGGCUACUGACUGAACAGUGGACUCGAUGUGGAAACUAUGUUGUCGAAACCCUCCAUCUGAAUAUUCCAGAGACAUCUAGAUGCCCCUGACUGUAAUCAGAUCACUUGUCUGAGCAUCAGGACAUGCACACAUACAAGAGUCAACACUUGGUAAUCCCGUGCUUUGCACUUUUGUCUGGAAAUGCUAUUAGACUGACACAAGUGAGCACUGA